CCCCCAGAUAUGGGGGUUACCAUAUACUGAUAUACCAAACGAGUGAACUUUUCAGUCUAAAACGGUUUCUAUCUUUCUUCCAUUCUGGGAGUCAUCUCCUUCCCAAGUAUCCCUGCUUAAGAAUUCUGCUCACAGGCACGUAUGUUCCCUCUUAUGCAGCCAGCUAGGCCUUGCUGUCUCAUUUGCCUAAUAAAUCAUCACUCUUUCUGCAAGUGCCACCAGAACUAAUGGGAAUGUAGUUCCACUUCUGGGAUGCUUCUUGCAAAGCAUGUAGUAAAAAUGCAAAGCAUAGAUUUUCGUGUGAGAACAUUAUGAUCUGCUUUUUUUGAGACUGCAGGUGAACUGAGGAUAACAAUUUCAAACAAAAGAGACAAGUGUUGGAGACAAAUUUUCCUCUAUCAGUAAAUCUGCUAUAAAUAACUAUUUAUUUAUGCAAAAGUUUAGAUGUUGCCUAUAUCACCAGAAAAAGCAUCUGAAAACGAUCUUUGAACAUAAGGAGCAUUUCAAAACAAUUGAGCAACCAAAAAUCUCUAGCCAUUUAAGCAAUUUAAAACAAUGUAAACUAUUCAAAACUGUAUAGUUAUCUCCAUUCAACCUAAGCCCUUUAUACAGGGGUAACAUAAUGGAGAGGAAAAAAGUUCUAAUGGUCCACUCCCAUUGAUAGCUAAGGAUUUUCUUGUGCUCCUUCCUGCAUAGACAUGAGUAGCAAUGGACUUACUUAAUGGGACAAUCUGGUGUCGGAAUCCAUUGAUACAACGCAAAUCCUGACUCAAAGUGGUGUCUGUUUAUAAACUACAAAAUAGGCUGGGAUCUAGACAAGCAGAAAUAAGUUCUUCCCUUUCUACUUAACAAUCAUUUGAUUAUUUUGGACAUUUUGGCAAAAUUUGAUAGGGCCUUAUCAGGACCACCACACUGAAUCAUUAGAAAAUGAUCACAGGGAGGCAAGGCCAUGGGUGCAAAGUAGAUGUGUUUGAUGAAUGAUGAGUAAAAAAAAUAUUCACAACAGAGAAAGGCCAAUUCCCAAUGCAUCAUAGCUAGACUUCACAAGCCACAAAUAAGAGUACUGAAGAAGCCACAAUGCCUACCAUCCCAACUAGGUGAUGUCUCAAGAAUUUAACUAUAUUCUCCAUUUCAAACACUGGAGUUUCAAAUUUAAAACUCCAGUGUUUUAAAUUUUAAUCGUGUCAGUUGGCCCUGCCCACUGUGAGCAAUUUUCUGUGUUUUAAUGUUCCGAUCUUAUAUUGUUGCUCUGUUUAUUUAUAUUGGUUUUUGUAUCUUGUGUUAUUUUUAUUUUCUUAUUUUCUGUUGUGUUUUUUGUAUUAUAUUGUUUACUGUAUUGCUGGGCUUGGCCUCGUGUAAGCUGCCCUGAGUCCCCUUGGGGAGAUGGUGGCGGGGUAUAAAUAAAGUAUUAUUAUUAUUAUUAUUAUUUCAGUCCAUAUGCUAGAAAAUACUUUAAGGUACUGGAAGGCUGAGAAGGGCAGAGAGAGGAUGAGUGGCCAAGAUGAUCGACCAUUUCUGUGCCUCCUCUUCUCCUCUCUAUAAGCUUUGAUGAUCACUACAAUGAUGAUUACUUGUUUUUCCCCUUGCCUAUUCUUUUCAAACAGCACACAGUUAAAACAAUUUAGAACAUAAUAAAAAGAUAAAAGCACAGUACAAUGCAUUUAGAGCAUCCCUCAGUGACAUGAAUUUAAAACUAAAGCCCUGCCCAAAUAAAAGGGCUUUGCUUUUUUGCAAAGAGGAAGACCCCAGGAACUCCAGUUGUAGAAAAUUCUUUAGCCUGGAAUCAGCAGUUGGAAAGGACCCCUCAUCCUCAGCAGAAGGGCUUGGGUUAGUGGUGGGCCCAAGAGAAAGCCCUUCUUUGGAGAUGUUUAAAUUCAGGCUGGCUCUUAUAGAGAAAUAUAAUCUUUGGGUGGAAGUGGGAUUAAGCUGAGUAGAAAUAUUUAUCAUAAAGGGCAUUUUGAAGGUAGAACGGGCAACCAAUAUGUUGGCUCUCAUCCAUAUUUCUUUUCGAUCGUUAAUUCCUGGUUUUAUUCAUUGCUUUUAAAAUCCCAGUUAUGUACAUCUACAUACUUUUUAGUUUAGAUUUUUAGGUCAUUCUGUGUUUUCAAAUAUCUGUUUGCUUUUAAAGGUUUCCCCAAUGAAUGUUAAAUCAGCAGGUCAUCUCUUAAAUAAAUCCAUGCUAAGCUUCCCCUGUGUUUCACCCUCUUACAUAAGUUUUCUAGUUUGUAUUUUGAACUCCACUAUUUCCUACUCCCUCCAUUUGUUAGUACUGCUCAAGUUCCUAGUUUGGGAGUAUUUCAUCUUCUUAAGAUAUAGCACAUGCAUUUUAUCUACAUGACUUCUAGCAAAAAGAAUUAGGUGAUUGCUAAUUUUUCCAUACCAGCAUUUUAUUUCUGAGCCAGCCUAAUUGUCUUAUAUAAAUGUACUGAAAAGAACUAUGAGAGAAACAAAUUCCCAGUAGAAAUUAAGUGAGUAGCAAAUUCUUUUCUCUCUUUUUCUUUUCUCUUUACUUUUAUACAGCUUUCUGGUAGGAAGCUUAUUUACAGUAUCAAGGUAACUUGCAAAUAAAUUCCUCCGUUCCACGAUGUACAAA
Non-coding RNA from Anolis sagrei ordinatus, 2593 nucleotides. The record is from RefSeq and is a predicted model, not a curated record. NCBI's taxonomy places the organism in Eukaryota, Metazoa, Chordata, Lepidosauria, Squamata, Anolidae.